UUGAUUAUUUAAUCAAAAAUAUUUUCAAUAAUGAUCAAAUCUUAAAUAGCUAAUCUAUACAUGUCUAUGAGUUAAGAUGUCCAAUAAUAAUGAUAUGCCGAGAUUAUCGAUAAAAGAACUUUUUGAUCAAUGGAAUAUUCCCGAAGAUAUAACAAAUAAUUUUAUUGGUAAUUAAAAUUAUUACAAUUAUUAGUAUUUUUACUAUUGAUGUUUUUAAAAAAAUUACGAUCUUCAAUAAAUAACAGAACAUCAUAAUAUUUUUUUAGGCAAUGAAAUUACACUUCAACUAUUAAAACAAUUGUCACCUGAUGUGUUGAAAGAAUUAUGUCAACAUAUUCUUACAAGAAUAAUUUUACAGCAGCAUAUUAAUCAAUUUGUGGUACCAAUUCAUGUAAUUUUAUUUUUUGUUUAUAAAAAAGUUAGUGAUUUCCUCUAAUUUAUUUAAAAUAAAAAUGUUUCAAUAUGUAGAAUAACGCUUCAGAAGAAGUUAAUGAAGAGGAUGGAAAUAAUUCUGGCAAUAACUCUGAUGAUCAUCCUGAAGUAGCCGUAGAAGCAGAAGUUAUCGAUGAAGUUGAUUAUUUUCCAUCUUUAGAUUUAACCAAGCAGAUAACAGCAUCUCCUGAAGGACCUCUUAUCUCUGCAGAUUAUUCCCAGAAUGGGAAAUUAAAUCCGACUAAUCAACAGUCAGUAGUGGACAUUAUUAGUCGCUUUUUGUUUCCUUGGCUGGAGGAAAAGUAAGCAAUUCUAAUCGAUUUUGUUUGUCUAUAUUAUAUAAAUUUACACAUAACAAGUAUCUUCUCGGUGAAUUAAAAUAUUUCUUUUAUAAUUGAGCAGAGUUGAUUCCUACAAAUUUAUUUUAGUUAAAAAUAUAUUUAAAAUUUUUUUACAGCAUGAUAACAAGUUGUCAUUACCGUUGUUUGUUAAAAAAAAUAAAAAAAACAUUCCCAAAUGAAUGUUUAAGUGUUUACUUUAUCAAGCCAGUUCCUAAACGGCUUUCACCUAGUAAUAAGCCUAUUCCUAUGAGAGGCAAAUUGCCUGAUAAAAUUAGAAAUACAAGGCACACUUCUGGGAUUACUAAGGGUAACAGAAAACGAAAGAGCAAUGUAAUCGAUUUGACUAUUGAAGAAAAACGAAAGCGAUACGACGAAUUAUUAGAAAGAAGCAUCUAAUACGAUAGUUCUUUUUGUAGAAAAUCCUGGUGACAUUGAGACUGAAAUCGAGAAACAGAGAACCCGUGCUUAUAAUAAGCAUGAUACCGUACAACCAUAUAUACUUAUUCAAGGGAACAUGACAGAGCAUAACCAGGUGCUGUUGGUUGUAGACGAAAUCAAGUAUCAAUUUACGUCAGCAAUUACAGCAUGUGAUUGUUUAUUUAAAUGUUACCACGUUUUUGGAGCACAAUAUCCAAAGGAUUCAAAUCACAUAUAUUUAUUAAUACAAAGGUGCCUCUUUAAGAUUAAAACUCAGUAUGAUGUUUUGCCCACGACGAUUAUUGAUAUUGAUCAAACGUUUGACAGACUAUAGGAUAAAGCAAUAUUUGAAAUAAAUGUAUUUGAAAAGAAAA
This 1564-nucleotide long non-coding RNA is filed under the name Cotesia glomerata. RNAcentral's name for it is "uncharacterized LOC123264939". The record is from RNAcentral. Lineage: Eukaryota; Metazoa; Arthropoda; Insecta; Hymenoptera; Braconidae.